AGCAGCCGCGGUAAUUCCCGCUCCAAUAGCGUAUAUUAAAGUUGUUGCAGUUAAAAAGCUCGUAGUUGAAUUUCGGGGUUAGUAGGUUGGUCAUGCCUCUGGUAUGUACUGGUCUCACUGAUUCCUCCUUCCUGAUGAACCUUAAUGCCAUUAAUUUGGUGUUUUGGGGAAUUUGGACUGUUACUUUGAAAAAAUUAGAGUGUUUAAAGCAAGCUAACGCUUGAAUACAUUAGCAUGGAAUAAUGAAAUAGGACGUUCGAUCCUAUUUUGUUGGUUUCUAGGAUUGACGUAAUGAUUAAUAGGGAUAGUUGGGGGCAUUAGUAUUCAAUUGUCAGAGGUGAAAUUCUUGGAUUUAUUGAAGACUAACUACUGCGAAAGCAUUUGCCAAGGAUGUUUUCAUUAAUCAAGAACGAAAGUUAGGGGAUCGAAGACGACCAGAUACCGUCGUAGUCUUAACCAUAAACUAUGCCGACUAGGGAUCGGAUGAUGUUAAUUUAAUGACUCC
Molecule: ribosomal RNA, 505 nt
Filed under: uncultured Glomus
Lineage: Eukaryota; Fungi; Glomeromycota; Glomeromycetes; Glomerales; Glomeraceae
Description: SSU rRNA
Rfam family: Eukaryotic small subunit ribosomal RNA
Source: RNAcentral